RNAcentral lists this ribosomal RNA (113 nucleotides) under Microtus ochrogaster (prairie vole). Lineage: Eukaryota; Metazoa; Chordata; Mammalia; Rodentia; Cricetidae. The record is from RNAcentral.
GUCUUUAGCCAUACCACCCUGAACGUGCCUGAUCUCGUCUGAUCUCGGAAGCUAAGCAGGGUUGGGCCCAGUUAAUACUUAGUACUUGGAUGGGAGGCGGAGUCCUGAUGGUU